GAAAAAACCGAGAGGUUUCUCUUCCCCGGGUUGAGUCAGCAGCGCGCGGGGGAGGCGUGCGGCGCGGCCAGCCCAGCUCUUAGUGUGGAGCGCGGGGUCAGGACCCGGAACUUUGGGCGAGAGCAGGGCAAGCGGCUGGGGUUGGGUCUGAAGCGGGCGCGGGACCUAGUGCUGGGCUGUUAGGGGUGUGUUUGGGUCACUCCUUUGUCCUGCUCCCCAAGAUGGAGAGGAGGUAAACUACUCCUUUCUCAUCGGACCUGCCGAAGCCUUCGUUGAAUCGAGCGCCUCUGACUUGCUAGCAGGCCGGGGAGGGAGUUCAUGGACAGAGUUGGCUAAAAGGAGAGUUCGAGAUCUCCAGAAUCUAGGAAUGUCAGAAAUGUGGCUUGGGUCCUGAAGCCCCCGGAGGACAGUGGGUGAUCCUCCAAUACAACGCAUCCUCAUCUUUGAGAUCCCUUGAAAGUCCAAGACUUUGGUGCAAGGUGUAGGAGAGACAGUGGUAGAUGUUUACAGAUGACAAAACUGAAGUACAGAGAAGCCAAGUUACCUGUACCCUCUCUGUGGGUGAAGCCAGCUGCCACAUACUAGCAGCCCUAUGAAAAGCCUCACACCACAAGGAACUGAUGUCUCUGGGCAACAGCCAGCAAAGACUCCAGGCCUGGCUGACAGUUUGAUUGCACUUGUGAGAGCCUGAACCAGAAGAUCCAGCUGAGCUAAUGCACAGAAACUGCAGAAAAAAAUUGAGAUUUUGUCACUUGCAACAAAAAGUUCUAACAAAUUGUCUCCCGCUUCAAAUGAGAUUUCAUUUAUACUGGGCUCCCAGCAUGCCCUCCGCCAUUCUGCUUACUCUCAAGACUGAGCAUAAACAGAGUAGUUUGCCCAGAGGAACUUCGGUCUUCCCUUCUUUGCUCACCAUGAUCUGGUGUGAUCAUGUCAAUUCAGGUUGUCAAGUCAUUGUUUUCUUUAAAAAAAUUAUUAAUUAAUUAAUUAAUUCUUGGCUGUGUUGGGUC
Molecule: long non-coding RNA, 1007 nt
Organism: Physeter macrocephalus (sperm whale)
Lineage: Eukaryota; Metazoa; Chordata; Mammalia; Artiodactyla; Physeteridae
Exons: 5
Source: RefSeq, a predicted model, not a curated record